This is a long non-coding RNA of Medicago truncatula (barrel medic), 2561 nucleotides long. RefSeq lists it as uncharacterized. Lineage: Eukaryota; Viridiplantae; Streptophyta; Magnoliopsida; Fabales; Fabaceae. The record is from RefSeq and is a predicted model, not a curated record. The transcript is spliced from 7 exons.
GGUCGCAGGUUUCUUUUCCAUUCCAAUUUCAGUCUCCCUCCCACCUCUUUUCCCCAAUUUCAAUCUCCCUCCAACACCUCCAAAACCCUAAAAUCUCAAACUCACUCACUCACCAAUCUCAAUUUUUGCUCAAUCGCUCAAUUUUUGCUCAGUCGCUCAGUCGCCGUUCACCAACUAAGUCGCUCAGUUGCUCAGUCGCCGUUCACCAACUCAGUCGCUCCUCACUCCUUCCUCCUUCCUUUUCCUCGUUAUGGCUUCACACGCUCUCGCUCUCACACUCCCAACCUAGCCUACACACUCGAUUUAGAUUCUUGUCACUUCCAAACCUAGCUUCUCACAAUCGGUCCAAUAGUUCCAAUCGGUGCUACAAUUGCUCAGAUUCCAACUCACUCAGUCCACAAUCCAUCAGCAUUGAUUUUAUUGCUCUAAAAGGCUCAGUAAAAGAAGCAUUUCACGCUAUUGGUUUUUUAAGUCUGCUGCUAUUUAUGUAAGUCCUUUUUGCCUCAUGUUUUUUUGAACUUUAACUAAUAAGUUUGCACAUUUUUCUGAUUGGUUAUUGCUGGAACGAUUAUUCAUUGUGUUGUAAAUCAUGGAAAUAUAGAUUAUGUCUUGUAGGAUAUAUAUCUGAUUUGCUUCUGUUUUGUGCUUUUUGUUUCUAAAAUAUAAUGACACCAUGCAUGCACCUUCACUGUUCAUCAUCUUCUUGCCGUUCGCUGCUUCCAUCACUGCUUCCAUCACACUAAUCGCUCGCUCUCACUCUCUUCCUUCAAGAUUUAUCCAAUUGACUGUUUAGGCAAGCAGACAGGGAUGUCUGGACGAGACAAAGAUAAGGGUAAGGCUCAUGUUGUAGAUCAUGGGAAGCCGAAGAAAAAGAAGAAUGGAUGAAUAGAUGUUUCCUCAGACCCUACCAGACAGUGGGUUCGACCGACGGGGAUUACCUUCCGUAACAUUGAUGAACGGACUGGUACUCCUAUUCCUACUGCUACUACUCCACCUCCUUACCCCACUCCAUUCCCGACUAUUCCUCCCGCACCAUUCCCGCCUAAUCCUCCCGCACCAUUCCCGCCUAUUCUUCCCGCAUCAUUUCCAGCAGCUACUACUAGUCAGGCUACUACUAGCCAGCCCCCUUCCGCACCAUUCCCGCCUAUUCUUCCCGCAUUAUUUCCAGCAGCUACUACUAGUCAUGCUACUACUAGCCAGCCCCCCAUAUAUUCUAAUCCUGGUUUUGCCAUGCCUGGAUUUACUCUGCCAUCCACACACUCGCCAAACUACAACACCACCCGGUCUAAUGUCCGACAAGGCUUUAACACAUCUGUUCCAUCACAAUCAUCAAAGGCUUUAACAACAACAAAACAACCAAAAUGAAAAGGUACCGUCUGGGGGUGAUCAACAACGCCGACAACGGCGUCAAAUCAUUGAAGACUGGGAGUAUGUGGAUAACCUUAUUGUGUUUACACCAACACCUGAAACGUUAGAGCCAUCCCACGGAGUAUCAGAACAUAUUAGAAUGGCGAUCCAGACGUUUUACCCUAAAUAUAGGCGUUGGGCCGUAUAUACAGAUCUUACUACCGAUGACAGGAACAACCAUUUUAAAUACUUUUCGGAUUUUUGUAGAUGGGAACCUCAUCAUCACACUCUUGUAUAGAGAAACUUUCAUAGGGUAGCUGCAAGACGUUUAUCAGAUUUAUUAUAUGAUGAACGGAAGGAAUUGAAAAACCGUAAGGGCAAUUAUCGUACAGAAUGGAUCGGAGAGAAAAGUUGGGAGUUAUUGCUGAAGUAUUGGAAUGAAGAUCCACAUUUUAAGAACCGGUCCAGAGCUAACAAGCUGAACAGAGCAUCUAUUGUAGGAGGACAGUUGCACGCACAAGGCUCUCGAAAUAGAUUGGGUAGAGAUCCUUAUCCAGAAGAGAUAGUUGAUGAAACUCGUUUCAUUCAGAAUCUUGGUCGGUAUGUCGAUGCUCGAGCUAGCAAUACCCAGGCAGCUUAUCGCACGGAAGCAGCGGAGUUUUUGGAGGAGAAUCUUGAGAUUCCAUCAUAUCCAAAAAUUCCCUUCCCCAUUAAACUUCAAUUAUGGGAAAAGGCUAUAGAAAAAGGAAGACCGGAUGGAGGAAAAGGAAGAAAGGGUAGAAUGUACGGUCUUGGGCCGUUAGCCGGCAAUGUGGUACAUGGAGAUUUGUUCUAUGUUCCUCCUCCACCAGAUUCAUCAUCUCGUUCUAGAGAGCUGCCUCUUGAGAUGCAAGCAAUGAUAUAACGAAUGAACCAGAAGUUGCAAUCUCAAAAUUAAAGGAGGCAUUGGCAAAGAAAGAAGAAUCGGAGAAUGAGUUAAGGGAAUUACUGGCCAAACAGGCCGAGGAAAUGAGAAAACUCAAAAGGAUGGUUGCAAAAAGGAUGGGUGGCAUGAAGAGUAGGAAAACAUCGGAAUCAUCGUCGCGAUCGAGUCAAUCAUCACCGUCGGUUCAAGAAGAUCGAACACAUGACGACGACAAUGAUGAUGAUGAUGAUGAGGACGAGGAUGAGGACGAGGACGAGGACGAGGAGAGGGAUGAUGAUCAUAACGAGUA